CUCAGAGGGCCUUGGUGGUCAGUCUGACCUGCAGCAGCAAACAGACCUGGACUCCAUAUUUAUGCUGUUGGAGGAAAGCAUCGUCACUUUUGUAAAGAACGAGCUGAAGAAGUUUCAGAAGGUUCUGAGUCCAGAUUACCCAGAAUACUUAGAGAGUCAGAGGGA
Molecule: long non-coding RNA, 165 nt
Organism: Perca flavescens (yellow perch)
Lineage: Eukaryota; Metazoa; Chordata; Actinopteri; Perciformes; Percidae
Exons: 2
Source: RefSeq, a predicted model, not a curated record